RNAcentral lists this transfer RNA (65 nucleotides) under Dipodomys ordii (Ord's kangaroo rat). It matches the Rfam family "tRNA". From Rfam's summary of the family: Transfer RNA (tRNA) molecules are approximately 80 nucleotides in length. Their secondary structure includes four short double-helical elements and three loops (D, anti-codon, and T loops). Lineage: Eukaryota; Metazoa; Chordata; Mammalia; Rodentia; Heteromyidae. The record is from Rfam by way of RNAcentral.
GGUGGCUCAGUGGUAGAACACUUGCCUUGCAUGCAUGAGACCCUGGGUUCAAUUCCUCAGCACCA